UAAGAAUAAGAAUAAGAAUAAAAGAAUGGAGUUGUUGGAGAAUUCUGAGUGCUUAUGAGAAGAAACCUCCAAGAAAAUAAGUCUUGUGACCUCAGUUUCUCCAGAAACACAGAGUUGUUCUUGAAUGUGCUUUUGUGCUUCUCCCAGGUGAGUGAGUUUGCUUUCGAUUAUUCAUUAAACCUGGCUGUUGUUAUUUGUUUAUAUGUCUCCAUGGAAAACCAUGCUUCUUGCCAGGUGCGGCUUGUCCUUGAGAUUGUAUACAGAUUGAACUCACGAGAACUUUACUUACAUGGCCUUUCUUAACUCUCAGCACAUAAAUUGUCUGGUGCUCUGAAUAAAGUUGGCUAUUGCUUGAGGUUCUAGUCUGCCUCAUUUAAAAAAAAAUUAUGUGUUCACUUAUAAAAUAAUCAUGUAUUCCAAUAGCAGCCCUCCUCCUCUCACUACCCCCUAUGCAGAUCCUCCCUGUUCCCUUUCUCCUCUGAGAAGGGGAAGCCCCCUCUCUGGGUAUCACCCUCCCCAAACCCACACACACAUCACUGCAGGACUAGGCACAUUCUUUCCUGCUGAGGCUAGACAAUGUGGCCCAGUUAGAGGAACAGGAUCCACAAGCAGGCAACAGAUUCAGGGACAGUGUCCGUUCCAGUUGUUGGGGGACCCGCAUGACGACCAAAUUGCACAUCUGCUGCAUAUAUGCAGGGGAGCCUAGGACCAGCCUGCGAUCACUCUUUGGUUGGUGGUUCAGUGUCUGGGAGCCCCCAGGGGUCUAGGUUAGUUGGUUCUGUUGGUCUUCUUGUGGAGUCCCUGUCCUCUUCGGGUCCCUCAAUCCUUCUCCUGACUCUUUCAUAAGACUCCUCAAUUUUAAGAUCCAUUCUCCCAGGUUCCAUUGCCUUUUCGGUGGUAAACACUCUCGGUCCACACAUUCCACUAAUAGGAGCCUCACAUAGAAGUCAAAUGCUCUUCAGACAACUUUCCAGCAGGCCCUACCCUCCUGGAGGCUGUUCGCAGGCCUUAGCUCCUGCCUGACGUACACAGCCCCUGCUCACACUCAGUGUCUAGGGGAGCUGCAUCUCCCUGCUCCCUUUGUCCAGCAAGGCUGAUUUGUGGCCAUGGGGAUGAGUCACAGUUCAGAUGGAGCAGGUCUGUGCAGUUACCUCGCAUCAGGAAAAAGGGGUGAUGAACCUGGCCCAUUAGCUCUGAGUUAAUGGCGUGAUAAUGGCUCCAUAUUUCUUUCUCCUGAUGUGUAGCAGGAAGCUGGUUCACAGCAGCAGGUCAUCAACAGGGCAGACCCAGGGUAAAAACCCAGUUGUGAAUCUCUCCAGCCAUGAGACAGUCCUCACAGUGUGUACAUGCACACACAUAUUUAUGGCAGGCAUUGUUGCGUGCACACAGGCAUGUGUAUGAAUGCACUGUUAGCUGGCAUAUACAAAUGUGUUGACAUCUCCCUUUGUGCCCUCUCCUCUGUGUGUGUGUGUGUGUGUGUGUGUGUGCCUAUGUGCUCAUGUGUGCAUUUGUGUUAUAUAUACAUGUCUGCAUGCAUGUGUGUUCACAAAUACAUGCGUACCUUGGGAAUUAAAGGAAGGAGAAAGUCUCGGGUUUGGAGGAAAAUGAAAACUCCUAGCAGAGACAGUUAUUAGAAUGUCAGCCCUGCUUCAUGGCCUGCUUGCCUGCUCCUAAAUGGGCCAAUUUGCCUCCCUUCCUUUGUUCCCUCUACAGAGACAGCCAGACAAAUGGAGAUGCAUGGCCUGCUGGAUAGGGGUCUGGCUUAUUGGGGAAGAAGCAUAUUCCGGAAGGACCAAGGUGUGUGUGUGGGGGGGUGGGGGUGGGGGGGUGUCCUUUCCUACUUUGAUAUAAAGCCACACAGGACCCGCUCAUUUCCCUAAGAUGCUCUUCUGCUGCAACUCUUGGUGGGUUUUCCUCUUUUUGUGGCUCCUCUUUGAAACCACUCUGUACUGAGUCCUCAGAGGGCCCAGGUCACCGGGCCUCACUUGAGCCAUCUAGGAUCACCUUCAAGAGGACAGUGUACCUGUGAAUGGGAAAGGCACCUCCAGAGAGGGAAUUCACUAGAGUCUCCAGGCAUUUUCCAAAGAAACUACCCCUGAUACAUGCCUGGACACAUCUCCAGGGCUGUGAGCAGGCAUACAUGUACAGAUGUUCCUAAGAGGCAGUGCUAUGUGGAAGAUCAUGGCCAUCUAGACACUCCACUGUUGUCUGCUGAAGGGCCCCAGAGCUCAAGUACUGACCCUUAGAAAUGACCAGCCAAGCCACUGGCAUGGGGAGAGGGAAGUGUGAGGGUUCCUAGAAAUCGGUGAUUAUGACCACUUCCGUGAUCCUGUGGUACUCAUGGAACCUGUGCCUCACCCUAUCUCUGUAUUUUUUUGUCUCCUCUUUGAAGAUCAUUCCAUACUGUUGUUAGUUGUCAUUGUAAAAUUUUAACACACAUUAGAAUCAUUUGUGAAAAGGGAGCCACAGCUGAAGAAUUACCUCUGUCAGAUUGGCAUGUGGGCAUGGCUGGGACAUUCUCCCUCCUCCUCCUCCUCCUCCCCCUCCU
This 2548-nucleotide long non-coding RNA is filed under the name Mus musculus (house mouse). RNAcentral describes it as "long non-coding RNA chr12:28902107-28904655". Lineage: Eukaryota; Metazoa; Chordata; Mammalia; Rodentia; Muridae. The record is from RNAcentral.